UGAGGAAUAUUGGUCAAUGGGCGAGAGCCUGAACCAGCCAAGUAGCGUGCAGGAUGACGGCCCUAUGGGUUGUAAACUGCUUUUAUGUGGGGAUAAAGUGCGUGACGUGUCAUGCAUUGCAGGUACCACAUGAAUGAGGACCGGCUAAUUCCGUGCCAGCAGCCGCGGUAAUACGGAAGGUCCGGGCGUUAUCCGGAUUUAUUGGGUUUAAAGGGAGCGUAGGCUGUCUAUUAAGCGUGUUGUGAAAUUUACCGGCUCAACCGGUGGCUUGCAGCGCGAACUGGUCGACUUGAGUAUGCAGGAAGUAGGCGGAAUUCAUGGUGUAGCGGUGAAAUGCUUAGAUAUCAUGACGAACUCCGAUUGCGCAGGCAGCUUACUGUAGCAUAACUGACGCUGAUGCUCGAAAGUGCGGGUAUCAAACAGG
RNAcentral lists this ribosomal RNA (424 nucleotides) under Verrucomicrobiota bacterium. RNAcentral's name for it is "Verrucomicrobia bacterium partial 16S ribosomal RNA". It matches the Rfam family "Bacterial small subunit ribosomal RNA", at positions 355 to 776 of the family's 1533-position model. The record is from RNAcentral. Lineage: Bacteria; Pseudomonadati; Verrucomicrobiota.